This is a long non-coding RNA of Lynx canadensis (Canada lynx), 667 nucleotides long. RefSeq lists it as uncharacterized. Lineage: Eukaryota; Metazoa; Chordata; Mammalia; Carnivora; Felidae. The transcript has 3 exons. The record is from RefSeq and is a predicted model, not a curated record.
GCACAUGCUGCCGAACCGCAGGGUCUCCGCUCCCUCCCUGCAGGCCCCGGGCUGCUAGCCUGCAAGGCAACCGGAAGAGGCCGAGGAGGAAGGGGACCCCGGAGGCCAGAGGACAUCCUGGGCGCAGAGCCAUGAAAAAGCUGGAGUGAGUUCAGGGAAGAGUGAUAAAGGAGGGAGUUCUGGAAGAAGCCAGAGGAAGGCUGCCUUGCUGAGCUGACCAGGCCACCUCAUGUUAUAGACCAGGAAACCAAGGACUGGAAAACCAGAAUAUUUCAUGAGGACAAGUCAGAGGCCAAUGAAGCGGGUCUCAUCUGUCCUCACCUUCUACGCACAGACAUGCGCUCUGCUCAAGCCUUAAUCGAGGCCACCGCAUCUCAUAUGAAGGGACCCGGUGGCUUGGGAAGCCUUCACGAGUGGGUCCAGGAGGGAGACCUGGCUUCCUGUGGGGCCGCAAAGCCCACCCUCUCAGGGCUCUCAGCCAGCCCGGGAUACUGGUCUGUGCUCCACGCAGGGCACCCAGGAGCCUUGGGAAACACUCGGCCCCGCUACACCCUUGAUCUGAUCCUAAUACCCAACCCUCCCGCCCCGCUGUCGUGCCUGACUCGGUAGAAGAAUCUUCCAGAGAUGCGGGAACGUUGCGUGUUAGGAAGGCCCGUUCAGAAAACAU